This 71-nucleotide transfer RNA is filed under the name Marmota monax (woodchuck). Its description in RNAcentral is "tRNA.Ala". It matches the Rfam family "tRNA". Rfam says of the family: Transfer RNA (tRNA) molecules are approximately 80 nucleotides in length. Their secondary structure includes four short double-helical elements and three loops (D, anti-codon, and T loops). Lineage: Eukaryota; Metazoa; Chordata; Mammalia; Rodentia; Sciuridae. The record is from RNAcentral.
GGGGUUGUGGCUCAGUGGUAGAGCGCUUGCUUAGCAUAUGAGAGGCUCUGAGUUCAAUCCUCAGCACCACA